GGUUGAGGUUUGUGCGUGGAGACGUAGAUCGCUGUGUAUUGCUAUCUGCAGUCAUUACAAAAGUUGGUAUAACUAGAGAAGCAAGCGGUCAACAACAUUCAUCUCUGGAGGGGGUGUCUAACUCGGUGUUACGGUGUGUUUGACUCUAACUUAAAAUUUUAAUGGAAUGUCCCUUUAAACAUGUAUUGCUUAUUUUUGUAAUCUUCUUUUUGAUCUGCUUGGUACACAAUUACACUUUUCCCAUGCUGACAGACUGUAGGGUAUAAGAGGAUCCCACGAAAAGCAGGGAAUGUUUCAGGUGUGUUUAAUGUUUUAUGCAUAUGUUUUUGGGUUGAGCUCCAAUGGAUUCUCAUACAUCAAAGUAAAGCCCAGUCAAGCUGGGGCAGAGGUAAAGCUCAGUUUGUACCCUGUGUAACCACAUGUUCCUUCUUUCUGUUCAGCCAUAGUGAAGGAGCUCAUAUUAAUAAGCAGUCCUUGUAAUUAAAAAUGACUGACAAGCAACCAGGUUGAUCUAGCAAUCUCAGCCUUGCAUAAAAUGUCCCCCUGAGCUGUGUAAGGCCUGGCUGCAGUCCACCCAGCUCCCAAGCACAUGUGGCCUCCAUAUGUGGCUCCUGGGAUGAAUGCAGUCAGGCACGUGGAGGACUCUGUGAAGAAAACACUUAAUAGCACAGCUACAGUGGCAAAAACCUCAACACAAUUAUAUCAGUAUGCUGUGGCUUUCUCUCAUAGGACGACCCCAUUAGGAAGAGCCUUUAGUUUUGAAGGUCAAGAAAUAUGUAAGGUGAGAAAAAUGGCUGUCUCCUUCGACCCCAAAGAGCAUGUGAACAUGUGAAAUGUGCCUCACCCCAAUCAAUUAUUGAAAUGUCAUUUAAUCUUAGGACUAAUACUUGACCCCGGCUGGAACAGCUUUAAAGCAUUAAAUAGUGAUUAGUGCCCAAUGUUUGUGCACAACUAAGGCCCGAACUACACGUAUAUGGAUAUUUAUUUAUCAGGAUAUUUUUGUACUCCCGUCUAAAUAAAUGUAUCUGUCCACACGUGUUCGUUCUCAAAAAUAUCUGCGUCCACACGUAGCCUUCAAACUCAAUCCUAUCUGGUGCCGCUUAAAAAAAAUUCAGGAACAAAGCUAACUGAUUGGCCGAUGAAUCGUAACAGCGUGAUGCCUCAUGCAUUGUUUGCGGAAGCUACGCUAGUGCGUCGGGUCCAUGUGACGGACCAUGUGACCAAUAAAAGUAUUGGCCGCAGCAGACGCGUCUGUGAGCUGGCUGACUGGUGGAUGUAAUUGUAUAAAACAAGCUUCACUUGCAAGGCUGAAAUUAGCCCCAAAAGGGCAAAACAAACGUAAAGAAUACCCUGUCUGUCCGCCGUUGUUGUUGUUGUUUUUCUUUUUAAUUCGCAUGCGCGAGCUGCGGUUUGACGUCAUCGAUCCGUAAAAAUCCAACCACACGAAUCCACUACGGAUACGGGAUACGGAUAUUUUUUUAUUUUUCCACUUGUUUUUCCGGAUUCAGAUUUAUCCGGUUUGAGUGCUCCAAACUCCUGUUUUGGUGUGGUAGGGAGGCCUAAUCGGACAUAAAUAUGUGCGGUUUGAAAUAUAUCCGCAUUCGUGUAGUUCGGGCCUAACAGUCUGGGAGCAUACAACUCUUCACCUAUUAUCACUUUUUAUAAACUUUAUGUCUUUAAACAGAAGAAGAGCAAUGACCCACUGUGUAGAUUGAUCAAUCCUUUUGGCUGUGAGAGCCAAAGCAGUCCGACAGAAUGCUGAGCAGUGUGAUGACGUAAACAGACAUCUGUUUGUUGGUUAUACUGGGUAAACUGUAUGGAAGCUAAUUAUAAACAAAGUUAGGGUUAAUGAUUGUCUCUGAUUCAUGAUGCAUGAAAUCUGGCUCAGAAGUUACCAAUGCUUCUAUUAAUACAGCAAUAAAAAAACGUAGAAACCAUGAUGAUGUCUUGUUUAAAUACUAAAUGAUACAUAGAGUUUUUGACUGGUGGAGAAACCAUGGACUAUAUAUAGAAUAGACACCAUCUGCCUCCUCACUGGGUGAAGCCACCCCAAGAACAGCACCCUCUGCUGACAGGAUGCAGUAUAGGUCAUAAAUCCCGCCUCCUCCAGCAAUCCCUAUGGAGCUGUGGACAAACUUAAAAUAUUUAUUACACAGAAUAUAUAUUUUUCUCCCCCCUGGUUGCGGUGUUGACAUGUAGUUACUGUGAGACUGGUUUGUGCUCAAGUCCUCUUUUUUUCUGUACAGCUCCAUUCUUAAAAGUUAUUAGAAGGUUCAUGUUUUCUAUAAUUGAGAUUUGAUACAGCCAAUGGGUGCAAGAAGAUUGCAUAGCUUACCCAGGGGUUACGCUGCUUGAGCCGAGCGUCAUCACGGCGACUCUCCCGCAGGAUGCGUACAACGCUACUGUGCAAUGUUGAUUCAGGAAGUGGAGAAAAAAGGAGGAAUUACAGAGAGCUUUUUGGCUUCAAAUCUGUAUACUGGCAGAAGGUGGAACCAAGUUGUCCAUGGUAUACACAGUCUAUGGGAGAAAUAGACUGAAACUGACACUGCUGACUCUUUAUGACCUUUAGAAGCAUACAGGACCAUCAUCAGCAUGACUGGUAAUUUUGAGAGCCUAAAACUGCUUUCAUUACUUUCACAUGUACAGAACAAGAGAUAGGAGACAUUACUUUGUCCACAGGGGGCAUCAAAAUCGACACAAACCAAAAGUUCCUUGCAGUAGCUGUAGUGGAGAGCACCAUGAAGAUAUGUGUUCGUGCAGUAUUUGCUGUGAAAUACAUUCUAGGUUGAUUUUUUGAGAGGUUAUUUGUGAAAACGACUGAGUAUUGGCACGAUCAAAUUUUCAUGCCUAAAGAGGGAACCACCCUUGAUAAAUAAAAGACUGAGGUAAAAAAAGAAAAAGGAGUACCUUUAUAUACAUUAUUUAUCUAUUUGAUUUUAUCUUAUGGUGAGAACCUUUUGAAACACUCUUCGCUGUUUCUCUUUUUCAAGCCAAGUUACAGGAGGCUGUAGUAAAAACUCUGCGUCAUUCCUCUCUGGGAUGGGAGAGUUAAAGGAACGGCUCUCCCCUGUGAUUCAGACUUCAGAGUUUGGACAACUGGACAGGAGUCUUAAGUCAGAGUCUGCAGCUCUGUUUGAUCAUUUCAUGCAGUUUUUUUGCUAACUCUGGAAAGAAUCCUCUCCAUGUGGGUGCAUGCGCAUUUGAGGGAAAAGAGAAGAGGUAUCUCUGAUCUUGACAGAAACCCCCAGAGACCAGGUUUUCAUCUCUUUUCCUGAUAAAUCUCUGAACAAAAACAAGAGGUUCUGACAUUCUUCAAAGGGGGCUGAGAAAAAUCUAUAACCCAUCUGGGUGGAGUCUUUCAUCAAUAUCACAUGAGGAUCUCACACUGCUCUCAUGUGAAGCUGGCAACAAGGUUUUGUUUUUCCUCUGCAGCCCUGACCACAGAAGGCUUGCUUUUUUGUGUGGAGCUGUGGGAAUGUGGCAGCAGAAGACAUAGUGUGGACACUGAAAACAAAGUAGGUCUUGACAGGUCGAAGGCCCGGCACAAUGAAGGGAUUGUAGGGGUUUGCCCACAGUUGCAGAUGUUUUAAUUGGCAGUGGCUGAGAAGCAGAAAUAAGAGCAGAAACUCCUUUAAAAAAAAAAAAAAAUCUCUACCUGCAUGUUGUGAUGGAUGGAUGGUUGAAAAGGAAGAUAAAUUGAUGGAUGAAUGAAUAGAGCUAAAAAAAAAAAAAGAACUAUCCUCUAUUUGAAGCUGCAAUUUUCAAAAGGAAAAUGUAGAAUUAAACGACCAGCUUUAACAGCAAGGCUUUAAAGUCCCACUCCCAUCUUUUUUUUCUUUCUUACUACUUAAAGUGUUAUCAGUGGUCAUUAAAUUGUGAUUAUGAAGUUUUUAGCCAAAAUCACAUUACCUGUGUCAAUUUCAAGGACUUUUCUUCUGCAGAGCUCCAGUAGCUCAUUAGCAAUUCGCCUCUGAGUUUUGGGCGGAGACAGCACUGCUCUGCACACUCCUCUACAGUAGAUGUGGCAGGUAACAUAGGAGCUAUUCAGCUCUCAGACACUAAUGUCUUUAGGGACAAGAUGAAAGCUAGUAUUGUGAUUAGCUUUCUUACAAGCAUUGCAAUCCACUAACGCACACACUUGUUCCACGAUCGUCCACUCAAUCUCUCUGAGUGUGGCCUGCAAAGCGGGGCUCCGGGGGUGGAGCUUGGAUUGGGUACGUAUGAAAUCUCACUGUCUCUGAACCUGCCAGUUGGGUCUGCCUGAGAUUCACAGUGA
RNAcentral lists this long non-coding RNA (4276 nucleotides) under Xyrichtys novacula (pearly razorfish). Lineage: Eukaryota; Metazoa; Chordata; Actinopteri; Labriformes; Labridae. The record is from RNAcentral.